Molecule: ribosomal RNA, 600 nt
Filed under: uncultured bacterium
Lineage: Bacteria
Description: bacterial SSU rRNA
Rfam family: Bacterial small subunit ribosomal RNA
Source: RNAcentral
ACCAGUCCUUAACUGACGCUAAAGCUCGAAAGUGCGGGUAUCGAACAGGAUUAGAUACCCUGGUAGUCCGCACGGUAAACGAUGGAUGCCCGCUGUUUGCGAUAUAUUGUAAGCGGCCAAGCGAAAGCGUUAAGCAUCCCACCUGGGGAGUACGCCGGCAACGGUGAAACUCAAAGGAAUUGACGGGGGCCCGCACAAGCGGAGGAACAUGUGGUUUAAUUCGAUGAUACGCGAGGAACCUUACCCGGGCUUGAACUGCAGGAGAACGAUACAGAGAUGUUGAGGUCCUUCGGGACUCCUGUGGAGGUGCUGCAUGGUUGUCGUCAGCUCGUGCCGUGAGGUGUCGGCUUAAGUGCCAUAACGAGCGCAACCCCUUUCUUCAGUUGCCAUCAGGCUAAGCUGGGCACUCUGGAGACACUGCCACCGUAAGGUGUGAGGAAGGUGGGGAUGACGUCAAAUCAGCACGGUUGACGGUCGGGGUCACAACACGUGUUACAAGGGGUGAUACAGAGAGUUGGGAGCCGGCAACGUCGCUCUAAUCUUUAAAGUCAUCCUCAGUUCGGAUUGGCGUCUGCAACCGCCCCACGAAGCGGAUUCGCU